Molecule: ribosomal RNA, 464 nt
Filed under: uncultured bacterium
Lineage: Bacteria
Description: partial 16S ribosomal RNA
Rfam family: Bacterial small subunit ribosomal RNA
Source: RNAcentral
GACGAACGCUGGCGGCGUGCUUAACACAUGCAAGUCGAACGGAAAGGCCCCUUUGGGGGUACUCGAGUGGCGCACGGGUGAGUAACACGUGAGUAACCUGCCCUUGACUUCGGGAUAACUUCAGGAAACUGGGGCUAAUACCGGAUAGGAAUCCUUGCUGCAUGGUGGGGGUUGGAAAGCUUCGGCGGUUUUGGAUGGGCUCGGGGCUCAUCCGCUUGUUGGUGGGGUAAUGGCUUACCAAGGCUUUGACGGGUAGCCGGCCCUGGAGGGCGACCGGCCACAGUGGGACUGAGAUACGGCCCAGACUCCUACUGGAGGCAGCAGUAGGGAAUAUUGAACAAUGGGCGGAAGCCUGAGGCAGAAACGCCGCGGGCGGGAUGACGGCCUUCGGGUUGUAAACCGCUUGCAGCAGGGCCGAAGCUUAUGGUGACGGUACCUGCAGAAGAAGCACCGGCUAACUACGU